This 201-nucleotide ribosomal RNA is filed under the name Sporolactobacillus sp. BM. RNAcentral describes it as "partial 16S ribosomal RNA". It matches the Rfam family "Bacterial small subunit ribosomal RNA", at positions 1278 to 1481 of the family's 1533-position model. Lineage: Bacteria; Bacillati; Bacillota; Bacilli; Caryophanales; Sporolactobacillaceae. The record is from RNAcentral.
AUAAACUGUUUCAGUUGGAUUGUAGUUGCAAUUCGCCUACAGAAGCUGGAAUCGCUAGUAAUCGCGGAUCAGCAUGCCGCGGUGAAUACGUUCCCGGGCCUUGUACACACCGCCCGUCACACCACGAGAGUUUGUAACACCCGAAGUCGGUGGGGUAACCUUUUGGAGCCAGCCGCCUAAGGUGGGACAGAUGAUUGGGGG